GCGGGUGUGGCGGAAUUGGUAGACGCGCGGGUCUCAAACACCCGUUCCGAAAGGAGUGCCGGUUCGACUCCGGCCACCCGCACCA
This 85-nucleotide transfer RNA is filed under the name Micavibrio sp. RNAcentral describes it as "tRNA-Leu". It matches the Rfam family "tRNA". From Rfam's summary of the family: Transfer RNA (tRNA) molecules are approximately 80 nucleotides in length. The record is from RNAcentral. Lineage: Bacteria; Pseudomonadati; Bdellovibrionota; Bdellovibrionia; Bdellovibrionales; Pseudobdellovibrionaceae.